CAAAAACAUAGCUAUGUGGUAGUACUCAUAGUAUUUUCUGCUCAAUGAGGGAUUAAAUAGCCGCAGUACCCUGACUGUGCAAAGGUAGCGUAAUAAGUUGUCUUUUAAUUGAAGUCUCGAAUGAAUGAAUAUAUGGGGAUCCUCUUUACCAGUGAUAUAAAUUGAAAUUGCUAAGUGAGUGCAAAUACUUACAGUAUUUAAUAGACGAGAAGACCCUAGAAAUUUUAAUUAUCAUUUUUGUUGGGGCAACAUAGUACCAAGUAAUUUACUAUAUGUGUAUGAAAUAUAUUGGAAAGUUUAAAUUACUCUAGGGAUAACAGCAUAAUUAACUAACGUUUGUGACCUCGAUGUUGGACUAGGAAGUUAUAACUUAAAAGGUCAUUAAUUAAGCUCUGUUCGAGU
RNAcentral lists this ribosomal RNA (402 nucleotides) under Camaenidae sp. EU16. Its description in RNAcentral is "partial 16S ribosomal RNA". It matches the Rfam family "Archaeal large subunit ribosomal RNA", at positions 1900 to 2655 of the family's 2987-position model. The record is from RNAcentral. Lineage: Eukaryota; Metazoa; Mollusca; Gastropoda; Stylommatophora; Camaenidae.